RNAcentral lists this ribosomal RNA (494 nucleotides) under Nitidulidae sp. UPOL ZL0167. RNAcentral's name for it is "partial 16S ribosomal RNA". It matches the Rfam family "Bacterial large subunit ribosomal RNA", at positions 1844 to 2600 of the family's 2925-position model. Lineage: Eukaryota; Metazoa; Arthropoda; Insecta; Coleoptera; Nitidulidae. The record is from RNAcentral.
UUUAAGGUCUAACCUGCCCAAUGAUUAUUUUAAUGGCCGCGGUAUUUUGACCGUGCUAAGGUAGCAUAAUAAUUAGUUUUUUAAUUGGGAGCUGGAAUGAAUGGUUGAAUAAGGAAAAUACUGUCUCUAAGGAAUUUUAUUAGAAUUUUAUUUUUAAGUCAAAAAGCUUAAAUUUUAUUUAAAGACGAGAAGACCCUAUAGAGUUUUAUAAAUUUUAGAAUAUUUAUUUUUUAGGAUUAAUCUUUUUAGAGUUUUAUAUUUAUUUAGUUGGGGUGACUAGAAAAUUCAGUAAACUUUUUUUAAUUAGAAACAUUUAUAAAUGAUAAAGUGAUCCAUUAUUUGUGAUUAUAAGGAAAAAUUACCUUAGGGAUAACAGCGUUAUUAUUUUUAGAGUUCUUAUCGAAAAAAUAGUUUGCGACCUCGAUGUUGGAUUAAAAUUAAAUUUUGGUGCAGGAGCUUUAAAUUUAGGUCUGUUCGACCUUUAAAAUUUUACA